GGUCUAGGGGCUUUAAGACUAUUACAAGGUGAUAGACGCGGGGCUUUGGGCGUUAUCAAUUGGACGAAUUCCUGGGAACUGCGGAUAUUGCUCGCCACAGUUUCUUAUCAGUUAAUUGCAUUCUUCGAUGUGCUGGGAGUCAGCUUGCACAAGUUAAGUCCUUGAGGAAGGGGCUGCCAGUGAAAGAGCCAAGAUGGAGUAUGUCUGGCUCUCGUAGCUAAGGGAGAGUCAAUUCAGGUGGAAACAAGGCUAGGUGAUUAAAAGAAAGGGAGAGUCUAAAAACAGGGUUAGUAAAAACAAGGUUGGGCAUUACAUUCCUCAUUGUGUUUUUGGGGAAUCAAAUCGUUGAUUCUUUAGUUAUAACAAGGGGUUUAUAUUGAGUUUUAAGAUACAUAAGUUUGACAGAAGCUAUGUGUUGUUUUACAAAAUUAAUAAACUAAUUUAAUAUACAAGGUCCAAAAAUUAGACUUAAUACUAGGAUGGGGAGGGGGUCUGGCUAACUUAGUAAUUAGAAUAGUUAGCUCUGGGUUCUAGUUGAACAUGCUUUGAUACUAGGGGAUGUUAUUUUCUUGUUCUUGUUGGCGCUUAUCUAGAUUUUCUUGCACUUUCUGGAGUGUAUCUUUUAUGACUAAGAAUGGUGGAGGAACAGUUAAAUCAACUUUGUCAGGGUGUUUCUGGAACAUAGGGUUACUUAGAUCAGUUAAAGGCCUGAUUGGCUUGGGUGGGCUUUAUGAGACUAGGGUUUUUUUGGAUAGUGAACAUAGACUUAACAUUAAAUCCUGGGAUAUAGAAUCUUAAUCUUCAUGACAUGCCAUGAUACUAUUGAGUUGAAUUAAGGUCAUGGACAGCUAUAGUAAGAGGAUUACAAUUUUUCUAGUACAUAAUUUAGGAUGAGAAGCACGACUUAUGGAAAGAGUUGAAGAUCUGGUUGAUCUUUUAGAGUAGGUGGCUAAAGUUACACGUGUCUAAUCAGGGCAGAAAAACUGAUAAGUAUCUUGACAGCUAGCAUCAGGGUGAUUUCUAGGACAGAGGUAAAAGUCAAUAUUUUGGAGUCUUUUUUCUGCACUUUUGGAGCUUCUACACUUAGUUUGGCUCUUGGAGUGUCUGAAUCUUGCUGCAAGGUUGACACUUCCUGCUCCUGGGACUGGCAGAUUGUGUUGUUUUUCGUGGGUAUGGACUGGCUUUGGGAAUAGUACAAAUAAAUCAACUGCAAAGGAGACUUCCUUGGAGGUACUGGCCUUCUAAGUGGUGUUUGCAAAUACACGUCCUGUUGUGAAAGAGGUGAGGAGAAAGGAGUAGGAAGGUACAGAGGACGUAACUGGCAAAAACAAAUAAGUGAGGUAGUAAAAAGAAUGUAUCUAAUGGCUUCACCUGACUUAGGCGCAGUUUUAAGGGGCCUGACUUAGGCCUGGGGACUUAUGUUUUUAGUUGGGCUCUGUUGGCCUUUUUGAUGCGGGAGUGAUGAAUCUAGGCAGGAAUGCCAUCUACUUUCAGAGCAGCUGGCGUCGUGAGGAUGACGGUGUGAGGUCUUUUCUAAGCAGGAGUGAGUCUUUCUUUUUGGAACUUUUUAACAAACGCUAGGUCUCCUGGCUGGAAUGAAUGGCAGGACUUUUUCUGGUCAGGAACUGGAUUGGGAUGGGCUCCUCGAACAAGUGGCAGGAUGAUCUCUUGUACCAGUUGGAGAGACUAUAGGUACUGUAAUAAAUUAGUUUGUGAUAUUUCUGCUAAUUUGGCAUCCCUUAGCUUAGGCAAGAUAGGCAGCGCCUUCUUAUACAUGAUUUCAAAGGGUGAGAACUUAGCCUGGUAAGGGGUGCACCUUACUUUAAGUAGGGCUAAAGGAAGGAGACUUACUUAAUUUACACCGGUUUUUAAGAUUAAUUUUGUAGGAGUGUUUUUUAGGGUGUGGUUCACGCUUUCUACUUGCCUGGAACUCUGGGGCUGAUAGAGCUCCAGGCAAUAGAGGCACAAUGGAGCUUCUAUUGAACGUUUAACGCCUUACUGACUGACUGAGCUAUAGGCGAGGUGAAGGCUGCUCUAUUAUCAGACUUUAUGGCAGCAGGCAGCCUAUAUUGAGGGAUGAUUUCAUUGCGUAAAAACUUAACUACUGUGUUGGUGGUUUCGUUUUCGGUAGCAAAUGCCUUAGUCUAUCUGGAGAAGGUGUCUACUAGUACUAGAAGGUAUUUGUACUUAGCCUGGUGUGGUUUGACUUCUGUAAAGUCAAUUUCUUACUUUUUUCUCGGCGAGUUUUUUCAGAGACAGUGGCCUGGGCUGGGUUUAGGACUUUGUUUGGCAUUUACUUGGGUGCAGGUUGUGCACUGGAGAGCGGCUUAAUCUGAUAGGCUUUGAAGACGGGGGAUCUUAAAAUGGCUCCGGAGGAGCUGAGGUAGCUUUGCUCUUUUUAAGUGGGUGGUAGACUGCAGGUGACUGAUUAAAGUUUCUUUAAGAGUUCAGGAUAUGAAGAUUCUAGAGUCAGGAAGAAUCUACUAACUUUCCUGAUUUUUAUUGGCUCUGAGAUCUGAAGCCAGUUUUUUUGUUGUUGUUGUUGUUGAGUAUACGGGAUUGUCAGGCAGAUCUGGCUGAGGAAAGGAGACUGUGGGCAGCAAGUUUAGAGGCGUGACUGAAAGUUGCGCUGCGACCUGAGCUGCUGAAUCAGCUUUCUAGUUACUAUGGGCAAAGCCGUGUUUUCUUUUUGAUGUCCUUUGCAGUGGAUCACAGCUAUCUGCUGAGGGUUUAAGGAGUGAGAACAGAGCCAAGUCCUGGAGACGGUGAACUUGCUGUCGCACCAGAAAACGAGAUGUGCAGGAUAGGGGGCAGGGACAAGGCGGAAAAGGACUACUCGGAUCAUUUUUAAGAUGGGAGAGUAGCCACAGAGGAGCAGAGUAAGAAUCUAAACGAGGUAAAGCAGUACGGGCGUACAUUUCUUUACACGGUGUUCUACUGAAGGGCACAGGAAAAGUUACAGAAUGACAAGAGAGACAGACAAGGGGAGGGGCUCCUGUGAUGGGAUCAGUCAGAUGCCUGCCUGGCCGCUCCCCCUGAGGGGACUUGGGCUCCUCUUAACAUUGGCAGGCUGGUAUAAACUUCCGGCUCAGAUCAAGCUAUGCCUGAUGCUGCCUUAAGCCUUAUGAGGUCGCCACGGAACCGCAGAAACUCCUGGAGGGCAGAGCUGUGUCUGCCAUCUUCAUCAUUGCAUUACCACCACCAAGCACAGUGCCUGGCACAAAAGAGUUGCUCAAUAAAUAAAUCAGGAUGAAUGGAUAAAUACAUGGAUAGGCACUUUGAGCUACAGAUGAGUUUAAAUACUUUGUGUUUUUCUUAGUCAAACAUGUGCAAUUAAGCAUGUGAUAAAUGAUAUGAUGACCACA
This 3365-nucleotide long non-coding RNA is filed under the name Homo sapiens (human). RNAcentral's name for it is "HSALNT0363450". Lineage: Eukaryota; Metazoa; Chordata; Mammalia; Primates; Hominidae. The record is from RNAcentral.